Delphinapterus leucas (beluga whale) is the source of this 92-nucleotide small nucleolar RNA. Its record names the gene SNORD116. It matches the Rfam family "Small nucleolar RNA SNORD116". From Rfam's summary of the family: HBII-85 is a member of the C/D class of snoRNAs, which contain the C (UGAUGA) and D (CUGA) box motifs. HBII-85 is encoded in a tandemly repeated array with another C/D snoRNA, HBII-52, in the Prader-Willi syndrome (PWS) region of chromosome 15. Unlike most other snoRNAs, HBII-85 is expressed prevalently in the brain (but is absent in PWS patients) and lacks any significant complementarity with ribosomal RNA. The record is from Ensembl. Lineage: Eukaryota; Metazoa; Chordata; Mammalia; Artiodactyla; Monodontidae.
GGAUCGAUGAUGACUCCAAAAAAUGAAUUCCUUGGAAAUAUGAACAAAAUGAAUGAGAAAUCCCUACCAUCUCCUCAUCAGAACUGAUGUCC